This 465-nucleotide ribosomal RNA is filed under the name uncultured bacterium. RNAcentral describes it as "bacterial SSU rRNA". It matches the Rfam family "Bacterial small subunit ribosomal RNA", at positions 917 to 1382 of the family's 1533-position model. The record is from RNAcentral.
GGGCCCGCACAAGCGGUGGAGCAUGUGGUUUAAUUCGACGCAACGCGAAGAACCUUACCCAGGCUUGACAUGCACUGGACGGGUGUGGAAACACACCUUCCCUUCGGGGCCGGUGCACAGGUGCUGCAUGGCUGUCGUCAGCUCGUGUCGUGAGAUGUUGGGUUAAGUCCCGCAACGAGCGCAACCCUUGCCCUUAGUUGCUAUCAGGUAAUGCUGAGCUCUCUAAGGGGACUGCCGGUGAUAAACCGGAGGAAGGUGGGGAUGAUGUCAAGUCCUCAUGGCCCUUACGCCUGGGGCUACACACGUGCUACAAUGGCCGGUACAAAGGGUUCCGAAGUCGCGAGAUAGAGGCAAUCCCAAAAAACCGGUCUCAGUUCGGAUUGCAGUCUGCAACUCGACUGCAUGAAGUUGGAAUCGCUAGUAAUCGCUGAUCAGCAGGCAGCGGUGAAUACGUUCCCGGGCCUU